CCUAUGGGGUGCAGCAGGCGCGAAAACUUUACAAUGCGGGAAACCGUGAUAAGGGAAUCUCGAGUGCCAGCAUAUAAUGUUGGCUGUCCAGAUGCCUAAAAAGCAUCUGUUAGCAAGGGCCGGGCAAGACCGGUGCCAGCCGCCGCGGUAACACCGGCGGCCCGAGUGGUAACCGCUUUUAUUGGGUCUAAAGGGUCUGUAGCCGGCCAAGUAAGUCCCUUGGGAAAUCUGGCAGCUUAACUGUCAGGCUGCUAGGGGAUACUGCUAGGCUUGGGACCGGGAGAGGUGAGAGGUACCUUGGGGGUAGGGGUGAAAUCUUGUGAUCCUCGGGGGACCACCAGUGGCGAAGGCGUCUCACCAGAACGGGUCCGACGGUAAGGGACGAAAGCUAGGGGCACGAACCGGAUUAGAUACCCCCGUAGUCC
RNAcentral lists this ribosomal RNA (425 nucleotides) under uncultured Methanosaeta sp. RNAcentral's name for it is "bacterial SSU rRNA". It matches the Rfam family "Archaeal small subunit ribosomal RNA", at positions 322 to 747 of the family's 1478-position model. The record is from RNAcentral. Lineage: Archaea; Methanobacteriati; Methanobacteriota; Methanomicrobia; Methanotrichales; Methanotrichaceae.